Rosa rugosa (rugosa rose) is the source of this 930-nucleotide long non-coding RNA. RefSeq lists it as uncharacterized. The transcript is spliced from 2 exons. NCBI's taxonomy places the organism in Eukaryota, Viridiplantae, Streptophyta, Magnoliopsida, Rosales, Rosaceae. The record is from RefSeq and is a predicted model, not a curated record.
AGAAUUCUCAUUUCUUCACUCUCAGCCCACAAUGGCCCAACAGCCAGUUCAUGUCUCCUCCCUAGGCCUAUGUACGGCCUACAAGUCCAUCCCUCACACUCUGACCCGCCUUAUCUAUACCCCAAAUUCAUCUCCUCCGUCUUCAUUUCUCCUUAAACCUAACCCUUCCCUCAGCCGUAACGACCACAUCUCUGGACUGUAGAAGGGUAUCAUUAAGCUAGGAUCACAAGUUAUCAGAGAAACCGCAGAGAUAUGAUUGUGCCCGCAGACUGAGCGAUGGCUUCCAAAGAAAGCUCUCCAUUAAUUGCAUCACUUGCUUCAAUGGAUUCGGCUGUUCCUUUCCUGGUCGGAGCUUACUUUGCUGUUUUUAUGGUGUUUGUGUGGCAGAAACUGAAACACGAUAAAGCCAGUUUGAUGGAACCAUCAGUUGCUUCUGGUUUGAUAUGUGGAGAAGGAUUGUGGAUUCUGCAGCCUCCCAUUCUUCACGUCUUCCACAGUUCCACCUCCAAUUAACUCACUUCCACCUUCAAUAUAACUCAUUGGUUGAGGCAUGUUUUCAGUUAUCUUUGUUGGCGAUCUUGUUUUUGAUCCCGGAAAGUGUAGAUCUGUGGAAUGUUUGUAUCAUUAAGUUAGGAUCACAAGUUAUCAGACAAACAGCAGACAUGUACAUUGUGCAGUAGCAACAAGGCUUUGACCACCAGCUCUCCAUAGCAUCAAUUCAAUUCUGCAACAAAUUAAGCAAAGCUUUAUUAUAAUUAAAUUGUAUGGGAUGUUUUUCAACAACAGGAUACAGGAGUUUAUCCACUGUUAAUGAAUGUAAAAAGAAGAGAAUGUUGUAUAAUUCGUUAAUUACCUUUGGUCCUUCAGAUCCUUGUUUGGUUUCUUCGAUUUAGUUAUGAUCAAUAGAAUCUUUUGCUCGUUUAAUUUCAA